UACGGGGGGGGCAAGCGUUGUUCGGAAUUACUGGGCGUAAAGGGCUCGUAGGCGGCCAACUAAGUCAGACGUGAAAUCCCUCGGCUUAACCGGGGAACUGCAUCUGAUACUGGAUGGCUUGAGUUCGGGAGAGGGAUGCGGAAUUCCAGGUGUAGCGGUGAAAUGCGCAGAUAUCAGGAGGAACACCGGUGGCGAAGGCGGUUCUCUGGGAAUGACCUGACGCUGAGGAGCGAAAGUGUGGGGAGCGAACAGG
This 253-nucleotide ribosomal RNA is filed under the name uncultured bacterium. RNAcentral's name for it is "partial 16S ribosomal RNA". It matches the Rfam family "Bacterial small subunit ribosomal RNA", at positions 524 to 776 of the family's 1533-position model. The record is from RNAcentral.